GCCUGGGUGGCUCAGUCGGUUAAGCUUCUGACUUCAGCUCAGGUCAUGAUCUCCCAGUCUGUGAGUUCGAGCCCCGCCUUGGGCU
RNAcentral lists this transfer RNA (85 nucleotides) under Felis catus (domestic cat). It matches the Rfam family "tRNA". Rfam says of the family: Transfer RNA (tRNA) molecules are approximately 80 nucleotides in length. Their secondary structure includes four short double-helical elements and three loops (D, anti-codon, and T loops). Further hydrogen bonds mediate the characteristic L-shaped molecular structure. tRNAs have two regions of fundamental functional importance: the anti-codon, which is responsible for specific mRNA codon recognition, and the 3' end, to which the tRNAs corresponding amino acid is attached (by aminoacyl-tRNA synthetases). tRNAs cope with the degeneracy of the genetic code in two manners: having more than one tRNA (with a specific anti-codon) for a particular amino acid; and 'wobble' base-pairing, i.e. permitting non-standard base-pairing at the 3rd anti-codon position. Lineage: Eukaryota; Metazoa; Chordata; Mammalia; Carnivora; Felidae. The record is from Rfam by way of RNAcentral.